This 450-nucleotide ribosomal RNA is filed under the name uncultured bacterium. RNAcentral's name for it is "bacterial SSU rRNA". It matches the Rfam family "Bacterial small subunit ribosomal RNA", at positions 330 to 793 of the family's 1533-position model. The record is from RNAcentral.
GCCAGACUCCUACGGGAGGCAGCAGUGGGGAAUAUUGCACAAUGGGGGAAACCCUGAUGCAGCGACGCCGCGUGAAGGAAGAAGUAUCUCGGUAUGUAAACUUCUAUCAGCAGGGAAGAAAACAGACGGUACCUGACUAAGAAGCCCCGGCUAACUACGUGCCGGCAGCCGCGGUAAUACGUAGGGGGCAAGCGUUAUCCGGAUUUACUGGGUGUAAAGGGGGCGCAGACGGCCAUGGCAAGCCCGGUGUGAAAGGCAGGGGCAUAACCCCUGGACUGCACUGGGAACUGUCAGGCUGGAGUGCCGGAGGGGUAAGCGGAAUUCCUGGUGUAGCGGUGAAAUGCGUAGAUAUACGGAGGAACACCAGUGGCGAAGGCGGAUUGCUGGACAGUAACUGACGCUGAGGCGCGAAAGCGUGGGGAGCAAACAGGAUUAGAUACCCUUAUAUCG